GGAGCAGCUUCUGGAGAGAUCGCAAUUAUUUGCGACGCCGAAGGGUUCACAAUCUCAGGCAAAAGGACAGAAGAGUACCG
Molecule: non-coding RNA, 80 nt
Filed under: Bacillus sp. (in: firmicutes)
Lineage: Bacteria; Bacillati; Bacillota; Bacilli; Caryophanales; Bacillaceae
Also listed under: 1 other name
Description: Bacillus sp. Glycine sequence
Rfam family: Glycine riboswitch aptamer
About the family: This family represents the bacterial glycine riboswitch. Glycine riboswitches usually consist of two metabolite-binding aptamers domains with similar structures in tandem.
Source: RNAcentral